AGAGUUUGAUCCUGGCUCAGAAUGAACGUUGGCGGCGUGGAUUAGGCAUGCAAGUCGAGCGAGAACCCGCAAGGGGGACAGCGGCGAACGGGGUAGGACAACGUAGGUAACGUACCCUCGGGGCGAGGACAGCCACGGGAAACUGUGGGUAAUACUCGAUAAACUUCCCAAUCAUUAUGGAAGGGGAAGCAAUGGGUGUGAUUCCACCUGGGGAGCGGCUUACGCAGUAUCAGCUUGUUGGUGAGGUAACGGCUCACCAAGGCGACGACGCUUAGGGGGUGUGAGAGCAUGGCCCCCACCACUGGCACUGAGACACUGGCCAGACACCUACGGGUGGCUGCAGUCGAGAAUCUUCGGCAAUGGGCGCAAGCCUGACCGAGCGACGCCGCGUGCGGGAUGAAGGCCUUCGGGUUGUAAACCGCUGUCAGAGGGGAUGAAGUGUGCGGGGGUACUCCCCUGCACUUGACAGAGCCUCAGAGGAAGCACGGGCUAAGUUCGUGCCAGCAGCCGCGGUAAUACGAACUGUGCGAACGUUAUUCGGAAUCACUGGGCUUAAAGGGUGCGUAGGCGGUUAUCCAAGUCAGGUGUGAAAUCUCUCGGCUCAACCGGGAAACUGCGCUUGAAACUGGGUGACUGGAGGGAUGCAGGGGUGUGUGGAAACUUUCCCGGGUGGAGCCGGGUGAAAAUGGUGUAGGAUAUCCGGAAAGGAAACGCCCAGCAAGCGAAAGGCGGGCACCACUGGGGCAUUUAACUGACGCUUGAGGCACGAAAGGCUAGGGGGAGUGAACGGGGAUUAGAUACCCCGGUAAUCCCUAGCCGUAAACACUGAGCACUGGGGGAGGGAGGCUUCGGCCUUCUUUCCCGUAGCGAAAGCGUUAAGUGCUCCGCCUGGGGAGUAUGGUCGCAAGGCUGAAACUCAAAGGAAUUGACGGGGGCUCACACAAGCGGUGGAGCAUGUGGCUUAAUUCGAGGCAACGCGAAGAACCUUAUCCUGGGUUUGACAUGUACGGAUUAACCCGAUGAAAGUCGGGCCACGCUCGCAAGAGUGGAACGUGCACAGGUGCUGCAUGGCUGUCGUCAGCUCGUGUCGUGAGAUGUCGCGUUAAGUCGCUAAACGAGCGAAACCCCUAUCUUUAGUUGCCAGCGCGUCAUGGCGGGGACUCUAAAGAGACUGCCGGUGUCAAACCGGAGGAAGGCGGGGAUGACGUCAAGUCCUCAUGGCCUUUAUGCCCAGGGCUGCACACGUGCUACAAUGGCCGGUACAAUAGGUUGCCACCUUGCAAAAGGGCGCUAAUCCCCAAAGCCGGUCUCAGUUCAGAUUGUCGUCUGCAACCCGACGGCAUGAAGGCGGAGUUGCUAGUAACCGCGCGUCAGCCAUAGUGCGGUGAAUGCGUUCCCGGGCCUUGUACACACCGCCCGUCACAUCAUGGGAGCUGGUAACACCUGAAGUCGGUGACCGAACCGCAAGGGGGGAACUGCCUAAGGUGGGACUGGUGACUGGGAUGAAGUCGUAACAAGGUAACCGU
This 1526-nucleotide ribosomal RNA is filed under the name uncultured bacterium. Its description in RNAcentral is "bacterial SSU rRNA". It matches the Rfam family "Bacterial small subunit ribosomal RNA". The record is from RNAcentral.